GAUGAACGCUGGCGGCGUGCCUAACACAUGCAAGUCGAACGGUGAAACCGCCCUCGGGCGGACAUGAAGUGGCGAACGGGUGAGUAACACGUGACCAACCUGCCCCUUGCUCCGGGACAACCUUGGGAAACCGAGGCUAAUACCGGAUACUCCUCGCCCCCCUCCUGGGGGGCCCGGGAAAGCCCAGACGGCAAGGGAUGGGGUCGCGGCCCAUUAGGUAGUAGGCGGGGUAACGGCCCACCUAGCCCGCGAUGGGUAGCCGGGUUGAGAGACCGACCGGCCACAUUGGGACUGAGAUACGGCCCAGACUCCUACGGGAGGCAGCAGUGGGGAAUUUUGCGCAAUGGGGGCAACCCUGACGCAGCAACGCCGCGUGCGGGACGACGGCCUUCGGGUUGUAAACCGCUUUCAGCAGGGAAGAAAUUCGACGGU
Molecule: ribosomal RNA, 432 nt
Filed under: uncultured bacterium
Lineage: Bacteria
Description: bacterial SSU rRNA
Rfam family: Bacterial small subunit ribosomal RNA
Source: RNAcentral